This is a long non-coding RNA of Drosophila hydei, 441 nucleotides long. RefSeq lists it as uncharacterized. The transcript is spliced from 3 exons. Lineage: Eukaryota; Metazoa; Arthropoda; Insecta; Diptera; Drosophilidae. The record is from RefSeq and is a predicted model, not a curated record.
GGAACAUCGAUUUGUAUAUACUCUAAGGCGUUGCAGUUUGGGAGUAUACAAUAAAUAUUUGUGUUUUCCAACACUUUUCCUAUGUACAGCGAAUCUAUCAACAGCAAAAGGUGGUAUUGUUUCCUUAUGAAAUAUUUUCAUAAGAGUAUUUGUAGAUCAGAGAGCAUCUCGAAUUCUGUAGCCUGCGUAUGCAAAGAUUCAGGCAGUAGGGCGCGGCUGCGCUAACCGGGCGGUCAGUCGAGUUUUAAUUUUAUGACGCAGCAAAGGAGAGAGAAGCCUGGGACAAAGUAGGCGACGGCGACGACGACGACGGAGCCGAUGAUGAUGGCGCCAAGAAAUUAACGAAACGCGCCAUAAUAAACACAAGAAGAGGAACGACGCCGAGCGUCGAACGCCGAGUGGAGGCUGUAGGAUCGUUGCUGUAGAUCGCAGAUGCACAGC